CCUCAGCCCCUUCUCCUCAUGGCACAUCAUCGGUUCGCAGGGCACCGGGUGCUGGAGGGGCAGUCUCGCAAAAUAAACAGCAAAUGUUUCAAGAAGUUGCCUUUUAUCCCACAUAACUUUUUCUAUAACUUACAAAAAAAUAACGCAUCGGAUCCACGCCGGCCGUGGUUCAGCCCGCCAUGUUUUGCGGAGUCCCCCUGCACGUUCUCAGCAUGCCCUGCUUGCUCUUGGUGCCUUGCGUGUCUUUCUGCACCUCACUCCAAAUUCCCGGUCUCUCUCCCGCCCUUUUUUUGGGAGGGUUUUCCUCACUAUUUUCACCGCCGAGGCUGCAGGGACAUAGAAACUUGAUGUAUUGCAGCACCAUCUGCUGGUUCCUAUUAGCGAGGGGCUGCUGCUUUAAAAAUGUUCCAUUCUCACAAAGCCUGGAAUUAUGCUCUCAAACCUACCACGGGUCAGCAGAACAGUGGAGACAUCUGAUGUAGCCACGCCAGCAAAGUCAAAAGCAGACAUGUCAAAGAAACAAGAGCUUUAAUGACUUUUAAUUAAGCAAGGUACCUUUCCAGCCAAAAGAGCGUACUGAUGGACCAAGAUGGGGCCUUAAGCCAAAGCAUCACUGGGUC
Long non-coding RNA from Chiroxiphia lanceolata (lance-tailed manakin), 620 nucleotides. RefSeq lists it as uncharacterized. NCBI's taxonomy places the organism in Eukaryota, Metazoa, Chordata, Aves, Passeriformes, Pipridae. The record is from RefSeq and is a predicted model, not a curated record. The transcript is spliced from 3 exons.